Molecule: long non-coding RNA, 1002 nt
Filed under: Homo sapiens (human)
Lineage: Eukaryota; Metazoa; Chordata; Mammalia; Primates; Hominidae
Description: HSALNT0366286
Source: RNAcentral
GUCCCCUGGACCUGCCUUUUAAACGCUUGUUCUGUCUCUUUCUAACUCCUUUGUCUCCGCCGGACUCGGGGUAUCCGCUGGGUGGUGUGGGGCUGGUUUCCCCAACAGCUUUCUCUCCACCCAGCUUCAUAGAUGACACCCUGCCUGCUAGGCCAGAUGUUCUCCGGCCAAGAACACUAUUAUAGCUGCCUGGCUUCUCCCUGAGCAGCGUCAGGUGUGAGGAGUGCGCAUGGCAGCUGCCCAGUGACAGUGUUCCACGCCUUGGUCAAUGGUACCACCAGCCAGCGAGGUUCCCAAGCCAAGAACUUCGGAAGCAUCCGUGAUUCUUCAUCUUCCACAUCCACUUUAUCACCGGAAGCACGCAUUCAACUUUCUAAACAUCCCUCAGACUGACCCACAUCUUUCUAUCCACUUUUCACAUCUUGCUUGAAUGACUUCCCCAGGCCCAGCCAGUCUCCCGCCUCCAGCUCCGCCCCCUUCUGACUCCCUUUAUGUGGUACAAUCAGAGAGCCCUUCCCAAAGCACAAAUCUGCUUUCACUGCUUUGCUUCAAGCCCUUUCGUGGCUCCUAUUUCCAGCUGGAUGAGGUCCAAGCCUCUUAACGUGCUGUACGUGUACAUGCCUGACCCCCGCUACUUGACCAGCCAAGUUUCUUCAUAGCGCUGUGUCUUUGUUCCUCCUGCCUAGAAUGUCCUUCCCCUUUUCUCUCGCUUCAUGGUGUGCCAAACUCCUAUCCUGUGAGAUCCAGCUUACACGUCAGCUUCCCCGUGAUGCUUUUCCUAACUCCCUAUUCAGCCAGUGAAGUGCUCCCUGCGUUCCCAUGUGGCUUGUAUCUCUGUAAAAGCUCCACAGAGCUGUUUUAAUUUAUCCGUUAAUGUACAUGUCUUCCCCACUAGACUUUUGCUCCUUAAAGUAUCUCCUUCAUCUCUGCUUUGCAUAACCUAACAGAGUUCAACACAUAGGAGUGUCUUAAUAAAUGCUGAAUAAAAUAAUUAAUAAACAA